RNAcentral lists this ribosomal RNA (253 nucleotides) under uncultured bacterium. RNAcentral describes it as "partial 16S ribosomal RNA". It matches the Rfam family "Bacterial small subunit ribosomal RNA", at positions 524 to 776 of the family's 1533-position model. The record is from RNAcentral.
UACGUAGGGGGCAAGCGUUGUCCGGAAUCAUUGGGCGUAAAGAGCGUGUAGGCGGUCCGGUAAGUCGGCUGUGAAAGUCCAGGGCUCAACCCUGGGAUGCCGGUCGAUACUGCCGGACUAGAGUUCGGAAGAGGCGAGUGGAAUUCCCGGUGUAGCGGUGAAAUGCGCAGAUAUCGGGAAGAACACCUAUGGCGAAGGCAGCUCGCUGGGACGUUACUGACGCUGAGACGCGAAAGCGUGGGGAGCAAACAGG